This 3086-nucleotide ribosomal RNA is filed under the name Bifidobacterium choloepi. Its description in RNAcentral is "23S ribosomal RNA". It matches the Rfam family "Bacterial large subunit ribosomal RNA". The record is from RNAcentral. Lineage: Bacteria; Bacillati; Actinomycetota; Actinomycetes; Bifidobacteriales; Bifidobacteriaceae.
GUUGUCCUGAAGGGCGCAUGGUGGAUGCCUUGGCAGACAGUGCCGAUGAAGGACGCGUGGGGCCGCGAUAGUCCUCGGGGAGCCGCCGACAGGGCUUUGAUCCGAGGGUGUCCGAAUGGGGAAACCCGCCAGCCGUCAUGGGCUGGCACCACGGCCUGGCCGUGGGGGGUACGCGGGGAAGUGAAACAUCUCAGUACCCGCAGGAAAGGAUACUCCGUGAGUAGUGGCGAGCGAAAGCGGAACAGGCUAAACCGCGUGCGCGUGAUACCCGUCGGGGGUUGCGCGCGCGGUGUCGUGGGAGCGAGCGUUCCGGUGCCGACGUGCCGGACGGCAGUGACAAAUACCGUGUGUUAGGCGAACCGGGUUGGAUACCGGGCCGGAGAGGGUGAUGGCCCCGUAGCCGGAUGCGCAUGGUCUGCCGGUCUCGUGUCCCGAGUAGCGCGGGCCCCGUGGAAUCCCGCGUGAAUCCGCCCAGACCGUUGGGUAAGCCUAAGUAUGACUGUCUGACCGAUAGCGUACCAGUACCGUGAGGGAAAGGUGAAAAGCACCCCGGGAGGGGAGUGAAAGAGUUCCUGAAACCGUGCGCCUACGAACCGUCGGAGCCCUGCGGCCUUUGGGUCGGGGGUGACGGCGUGCCUAUCGAAAAAUGAGUCUGCGAGUCAGUGGCACGUGGCGAGGCUAACCCGGGUGGGGGAGCCGUAGCGAAGGCGAGUCUUAAAAGGCGUUUGAGUCGCGUGUCCUGGACCCGAAGCGGGAUGAUCUAGCCCUGGUCAGGUUGAAGCGCGGGUAAGACCGCGUGGAGGACCGCACCCACUUAGGUUGAAAACUGAGGGGAUGAACUGGGGCUAGGGGUGAAAGGCCAAUCAAAUUCCGUGAUAGCUGGUUCUCUCCGAAAUGCAUUUAGGUGCAGCGUCGGUUCAUUGCGUCCGGGGGGUAGAGCUACUGGAUGCUUGCGGGCCCGUAUCGGGUACCAAUAGCAGCCAAACUCCGAAUACCCGUGACGUGUAUUCCGGCAGUGAGUCGGCGGGGGAUAAGCUCCGUCGUCGAGAGGGAGACAGCCCAGAUCGUCGUCUAAGGUCCCCAAGCGCGUGCUAAGUGGGAAAGGAUGUGGAGUCGCAUAGACAGCCAGGAGGUUGGCUCAGAAGCAGCCAUCCUUGAAAGAGUGCGUAACAGCUCACUGGUCUAGUGGUUCCGCGCCGACAAUGUAGCGGGGCUCAAGCACGCCACCGAAGACGCGGAAACGUGUUGUGCACGUUUGGUAGGAGAGCGUCCCAUGCCGGGUCGAAGCGGCCGCGCAAGCGCGCCGUGGACUGCAUGGGAGCGAGAAUGCAGACAUGAGUAGCGAGAGCGGGGUGAGGAUCCCCGCCGCUGGAUGACCAAGGGUUCCAGGGCCACGUUCGUCGUCCCUGGGUGAGUCGGGUCCUAAGGCGAGGCCGACAGGCGUAGUCGAAUGGACGAACGGGUUGAUAUUCCCGUACCGGCACGGAACCGGCAGGCCGAUAGUCGUCUUGAAACCGCUUCCGGCGGGGAGCCCCGUUCCUUCGGGAAUGGUGGUGACUCGCCGGUCGCGUGCGGAUGGCGGCGUGUAGGCGAGCGCGUGGAGUGACGCGGAUGGGUAGCCGGCCGCGGAGGUGGUUUUCCGUGGUCAAGCAUGCGGCCCGUCCCCCAGGCAAAUCCGGGGGACAUGUGGGCGAGGUGCGAUGAUGGGCGCCUUGAUGGCGCGAUAUCCGGUGAUCCCGUCGGCCGAGAAAAGCUUCGGCGCGAGGGUCCGUUGCCGCCCGUACCCGAAACCGACACAGGUGGUCAGGUAGAGCAUACCAAGGCGAUCGAGCGAAUCCUGGUCAAGGAACUCGGCAAAUUGCUCCCGUGCCUUCGGCAUAAGGGAGACCCCCCGGGGUGAGGGAACUCGCUUCCGGAGCUCCGGGGGGUGGCACAGGCCAGGGGGUAGCGACUGUUUACCAAAAACACAGGUGCAUGCGAAGACGCAAGUCGCGGUAUAUGCACUGACGCCUGCCCGGUGCCGGAAGGUUAAGAGGAUCCGUCAGCCACUUGGUGGCGAAGCGGUGAAUUCAAGCCCCGGUAAACGGCGGUGGUAACUAUAACCAUCCUAAGGUAGCGAAAUUCCUUGUCGGGUAAGUUCCGACCUGCACGAAUGGCGUAACGACUUCCCCACUGUCUCGACCAGGAGCUCGGCGAAAUUGCAGUACGAGUAAAGAUGCUCGUUAAGCGCAGAAGGACGAAAAGACCCCGGGACCUUUACUAUACCUUGGUAUUGGCAUCAGGUGCGGAUUGUGUAGCAUAGGCGGGAGACUGUGAGGCGCGCGCGCCAGCGUGCGCGGAGUCGCAAGGUGAAAUACCGCUCUGUCCCCAUCUGGCGUCUAACCUCGACGAGUGAUCCUCGUCAGGGACAGUGCCUGGCGGGUAGUUUAACUGGGGCGGUUGCCUCCCAAAGAGUAACGGAGGCGCUCAAAGGUUCCCUCGGCCCGGUUGGCAAUCGGGUGUCGAGUGUAAUCGCACAAGGGAGCUUGACUGCGAGAGCGACGGCUCGAGCAGGGACGAAAGUCGGAGAUAGUGAUCCGGUGCCGGCGUACGGACGCGGCAUCGCUCAACGGAUAAAAGGUACCCCGGGGAUAACAGGCUGAUCAUUCCCAAGAGUCCAUAUCGACGGGAUGGUUUGGCACCUCGAUGUCGGCUCGUCGCAUCCUGGGGCUGGAGCAGGUCCCAAGGGUUCGGCUGUUCGCCGAUCAAAGCGGCACGCGAGCUGGGUUCAGAACGUCGUGAGACAGUUUGGUCUCUAUCCUCUGCGCUCGUUGGAAUCUUGAGGAGGCCUGCCCAUAGUACGAGAGGACCUGGGUGGACGAACCUCUGGUAUGCCUGUUGUCCCGCCAGGGGCAUGGCAGGUUGGCUACGUUCGGGAGGGAUAACCGCUGAAAGCAUCUAAGCGGGAAGCCCGCUCCAAGAUAAGGAUUCCGUAGGCCCUUCGAGGCCUUGUAGACCCCAUGCCAGAACACGUGGUUGAUAGGCCGGACGUGGAAGCCCCGCGAGGGGUGGAGCUGACCGGUACUAACGGUCGAUGGCAACCAACA